Long non-coding RNA from Oreochromis aureus, 812 nucleotides. Lineage: Eukaryota; Metazoa; Chordata; Actinopteri; Cichliformes; Cichlidae. The record is from Ensembl.
CGUACUGAGCAGAGUAAAUGUAACACAAAAGCUGUUAAAACUGUGUGUUUCAUUUUAUCUUUAUAAAAUUUUCUAAUUUUGUUUGUAUUAACACGUUUGGAGUCAGACUGUCAGAAAGCCGCAGCUUUUCCGACCGCAGAGCACCAUCACCUGUUUUCUGGGUUCCUAAUCUGACCCAGCAUGCAGCGCUGCAGGUGCUACAGCACAAUCAGGAAGUGAGAGAUUGUGUCCACGUGGCAGGCUCUAACGUGGCCCAGCAGACAACAGGGUAGCGAGGAGUGUUCCUCCUGGAUUAGAUGGCAUCCACUGAAGAACCGCAGCCAGCGCCCUACUCCAUCACUGCUAUCUUCAGUUUUCCAGUGAUGGCCACACUCUGUGGUUUCAGGGAAGGUGCUGACACCACCCACACAGCCUUUGUCAGGCUGGUGGGGUGGGGUCACAUCAUCACUGAGGUGAGAUGGAGAAUCUGGUACUGAUGACUUUAAGUUCACACACUGCGAGCUCUGAAGUUUCUGCAGAUCCCGGUGAAGCCGAAUCUCCAGAAUCCCACAGAUCCACUAUCCCGUGGUGAGCUGAUGGCGCUGUAGGUGAGCGGAGGACGGUGGUGGUAACUGGAGGGAAUUCUGGGAUUUGCAGGUGAGGUCAAAACUCUGGAAUAACACAGAAAAAACACAGUGAAUACUCUGAUCUCUACUAUUCUCCAUUCUUAACAGCUUUUCAGUCAUUUCAGGCACAAAUUGAAGCAUUUUUAAGUUUUUCUUUAAAUUCCAACUGAUCAGAUUGGAUCCAUAAGUUUGAACCUUUGAAGCGCG